RNAcentral lists this small RNA (277 nucleotides) under uncultured Halarcobacter sp. RNAcentral's name for it is "5' ureB small RNA". It matches the Rfam family "5' ureB small RNA". The record is from RNAcentral. Lineage: Bacteria; Pseudomonadati; Campylobacterota; Epsilonproteobacteria; Campylobacterales; Arcobacteraceae.
AUUUGUCCGGGGGAAAUAAAAUGAAUGUGUGCAUCAAUUCCACCAGCAGUUAUAAUUUUACCUUCUGCUGAUAAUAUUUCAGUGUUAGCUCCAAUUUCUAAACCCUCAGUUAUUCCAUCACAAUUGUAUGGAUUCCCACUUUUACCAAUAGCAGAUAUUUUUCCAUUCUUUAUUCCAAUAUCAGCUUUGUAAAUGCCUGUGUAGUCAAUGAUUGUUGCAUUCGUAAUUAUUAAAUCUGCAACAUCUACUGCAAGUGGAGAUUGGCUCAUUCCAUCUC